CCCACUCUUGUUAAUCACCAUAUCUAAGUAAAGUGCCUUUCCUUCUAAUCUUGGUACCGUCGUUUAGCUCAUCAUUCUCCUUCCAUCUUGCUUUUUGGGCCUACCAAUAGGAGCCCUUACGGGAGGGGAAGCAAUAGUUUCAUACUGUGUUUGGAGUCAUGUAUAUUUCCUAGAAUUUCGGUCACUCACAUAGGCCUCAACAUCCUUGUGAACAUUAUGGCUGUCGCAGCAUGGAAGCAUGGGAUGCUAGAGAUAUCCCUCUUUUUUUCCCAUCCACAAACACUUUCUCCCAAGUCCGCCAU
RNAcentral lists this long non-coding RNA (302 nucleotides) under Phoenix dactylifera (date palm). RNAcentral describes it as "long non-coding RNA (PDAC_LNC010299)". Lineage: Eukaryota; Viridiplantae; Streptophyta; Magnoliopsida; Arecales; Arecaceae. The record is from RNAcentral.